Dendrobium catenatum is the source of this 234-nucleotide long non-coding RNA. RefSeq lists it as uncharacterized. The record is from RefSeq and is a predicted model, not a curated record. The transcript has 2 exons. NCBI's taxonomy places the organism in Eukaryota, Viridiplantae, Streptophyta, Magnoliopsida, Asparagales, Orchidaceae.
AACAAGAUCAUCCACACAAUUCAUUGCCAGGCUAUUUCGUCUAGAAUUGGGUUGGAAGCUUCAAGGGUGUCUGAAAUGCUCCAGCAAUUGAUGAGAUGAUCAGUUUAUAUUUUAUUGGAAAAAUUUAUAAUCAGAAUACCUUGAUAAAAAAAUUUAAAUAGAUUUUAAGAUGAGUGUGAUAUGUAGAUAGUUAAUAUUAUAUUUAUCUUAAAAUAAAUUUAAAAUUUUGUGAUU